RNAcentral lists this ribosomal RNA (441 nucleotides) under Shigella flexneri. RNAcentral's name for it is "bacterial SSU rRNA". It matches the Rfam family "Bacterial small subunit ribosomal RNA", at positions 292 to 725 of the family's 1533-position model. Lineage: Bacteria; Pseudomonadati; Pseudomonadota; Gammaproteobacteria; Enterobacterales; Enterobacteriaceae. The record is from RNAcentral. RNAcentral also lists the same sequence under 1 other name.
CUGAGAGGAUGACCAGCCACACUGGAACUGAGACACGGUCCAGACUCCUACGGGAGGCAGCAGUGGGGAAUAUUGCACAAUGGGCGCAAGCCUGAUGCAGCCAUGCCGCGUGUAUGAAGAAGGCCUUCGGGUUGUAAAGUACUUUCAGCGGGGAGGAAGGGAGUAAAGUUAAUACCUUUGCUCAUUGACGUUACCCGCAGAAGAAGCACCGGCUAACUCCGUGCCAGCAGCCGCGGUAAUACGGAGGGUGCAAGCGUUAAUCGGAAUUACUGGGCGUAAAGCGCACGCAGGCGGUUUGUUAAGUCAGAUGUGAAAUCCCCGGGCUCAACCUGGGAACUGCAUCUGAUACUGGCAAGCUUGAGUCUCGUAGAGGGGGGUAGAAUUCCAGGUGUAGCGGUGAAAUGCGUAGAGAUCUGGAGGAAUACCGGUGGCGAAGGCGGC